AGAGAGCAGAACGCGAGGCAUUGGGAGCAUUGCCUCUUUACCAGCGCACCAUUCCUUAAGCUAUUUCUGCUUUUCAUAGUUAUUUUUGGACGGAGUAAAUGUCGUUUGAGACACAGUUUCUUCCAUAUGUUGAUGGAUUGGAACAUCUCUCCAUCAUUUGUUUGUUUCCAACAUUUGUAUUUCAUUACCAAAGUUUCAUUCACCAUCUGUUCUAGUCAUUAUUGAUA
RNAcentral lists this unclassified non-coding RNA (227 nucleotides) under Hevea brasiliensis (rubber tree). Lineage: Eukaryota; Viridiplantae; Streptophyta; Magnoliopsida; Malpighiales; Euphorbiaceae. The record is from RNAcentral.